This 541-nucleotide long non-coding RNA is filed under the name Coffea arabica (coffee). RNAcentral's name for it is "long non-coding RNA (CARA_LNC006139)". The record is from RNAcentral. Lineage: Eukaryota; Viridiplantae; Streptophyta; Magnoliopsida; Gentianales; Rubiaceae.
ACCAAUUAGCCCAAUUCAAAAAAAAAAACAACAAUACAAAAAUGAUUUCAAUAGCAUGAAGAAUAUUUCAGACAAAAAAUGCCCCUCAAUUUGACUUAGAAUAAAAAAGAAAUAUUAGUUAAAAAUAAACUAAAUAUGAAAUGCAUUUGACCAAAUCAAACUUUUUGUUUAUUGCAAUAAUAUCAUCGAUUGGUUUGUUUGGAUUGCUUCAUAUUUUCCCAAUUUUAUUUGCUUACAUCAUCUUUAUAAUUUCCAAUACACCUUUUUAUCUUUCCAAUAUCUUUUUAUCUCACAUACAUCACAUCACAAAAAGUGCUACAGAAAAAUAUCCCAAAUAAUCCCAAAUAACUUACAAUCCAAACAGACAUCCUUAACGCCUGCUGGCGGCCUACAAUAUGUUACAGGAAGAGAUAAGGAACAACCACAGAGAACCUAUGGGUGAAUAAAAGGAGAGAGGGAAGGGGGGAGGAUGGUUAACAUUGAGAUGGCGGUCAAUAUACAAAUUACAAACUCAAGCUCAGAGAUAAUCUAUUAACAGAAU